RNAcentral lists this long non-coding RNA (519 nucleotides) under Ananas comosus (pineapple). RNAcentral describes it as "long non-coding RNA (ACOM_LNC036579)". Lineage: Eukaryota; Viridiplantae; Streptophyta; Magnoliopsida; Poales; Bromeliaceae. The record is from RNAcentral.
UGUAAGGUACCGAACUUCUUAAAUUAUGAAGUUGCGGUAGGAUGUAAUAUGCUGAAAUUUUAAUAUAAAAAAUAAAUAUAAAUAAAAAUAGUGUGAGAUACUAUUUUAUUGGACUUAUAGACAUAUAAUAUAAGUCUGGAAUGACCCGUGUUGAAAUCGGAGCGAAAACAGAAGAUUUAGAAUUUUCUGUGUGAAACGGGACAGAUAAAUUAGCAAAAAAUGCAUAGUGUCAAAAAAUUCUGAAAACUGGAGGAUAAGCCAGAAUUAUUCUUAUGAGGCUAGAUUUAAAGUUUCAUUUCAUUCUGACACCCGGAAGGUGAAAAAUAAAAUCCGAUAGUGAUCUGAUAAAGAUUACAGUUCGGUAUGGCUUUCGGUGACCAAAUGGGGUCGAAACUGAAAGAUUAAAAUUUCUUUCGUUAAGUUAAGCAAAAUCGAACAUGACUGUCAAAUUUGAGCUCAAACGGAUAUUCAAAGGGCUCCGACGAAAGAUAUCAGAUUUCGAACUGCCUGAAGUGAAUA